CUGGUACAGAGACUUUAUCUUUCACACAGACUUCAAAUAUCUUUGGGAAUUUGUGCUCCUUAUUUACUGAGUGCUUGAGAAGAAAAGACAAAGCCAGUGGAAUGGUCCGAGUGUGGCAUCCGCUGCAUUUAUAAAGAAUAAGAGCUGCAGUGGGUGUGAUUCUUGGACAGAGUGGCGCUCAUCCUUGUUCCUGCAAUGAAGGACAUGCCAGCCUCCAGGCUCUUUGACAGAUGAUUGGAACUGUGCAAAUAUUAUGGAAGAUACCCCGUGUCAAGAAGCUGACAGCACACACGUUUGGGAAGGAUUUAGUGGCUGAAGCACUUCUAGAAGACAUCACCAAAAUGAAACAGUCUACUAUCAGCAAAGGUACCUGAGUAAACAUUCUGCAAUCUCUAACAAAUGUUUAAUGCAAAUGAAACACACUGAAAACCUAAUUCUCAUGUGAGAAGAAUCCUUCGCUAGUAAUCUGUAGUUAACAUCAUUCGUGUGACUUUUUGUGUUGCGUCAUUAGCAUUGCCUAUGUUUUUUCUCUUUGGUGGGGCCAGAAGGAAAGAUCUUGUUGGCUUAGUGGUAUGAAAACCAGGGAGGGAGGGGAAAUGAGGCUCCUCUCCUUUCUUUUCACUACUAGAAUGCCAGAGCAAGAGUGUGAAACAGAGAGCACAGAGCCGUGAUGCUGCCCCCUGCCGGUGGUGCAGGAGAAAGGACGCAACCUCAGUCUACGACUCCUGCCAAGAUUAUCAGCCACGCUAGAAACUAAAGGGUGAAAACAGGGUUUCUCUGCUGCAAUUCCAUCUCUUCCUCUAGAAACUUGUCGUAGGAAUGACUCCCUGUAACUUCCCACACCUGCCUCUUCUUUCUGUAAGUGUUGGCUAACAGAAUCCCCUCCUUCCUCGGUCCUUGCUAAGUGACUGAAUUCAGAAACUCCUGGACAAUAUUACAACCAUCCGUAUUACUGGUCUUUGGCGCUCUAGACUUAUUUUAGAAAGAAAAAUGUGGCAAAUCAUCCAAGAAUUUUCCUGUGCACAGCAUAGGGAUCUGUUUCUCUUACCAUCAGAAAGGGAUUCAUAGUCAUAAUCAUAUUCGUCCUCCUCAUCUUCCUCUUCCUCAUUAUUGGCAGGUCGGGGGUUGGCAUUCCCACCAUUAUAAGCCUGCACUUGCAUAGAUGCUAACUGAUGAGCCUGUAAAAUAGCAAUAAUUGUAAACUGCAGAUGCCAAGUUAAUGAAUUCAUUUAUAACCUUUAAAACUACCCCUGAUGUUUAACACAAUCGUUAAAAGUGGCUUAACCUAUUUUGAUACAUUUGGGAGAGGAGAAAAAAAUCUAGAUUCCCUCGAAAUGCAAUGUCAACACUUGGGUGAACGUUAGCAUUCCUACAGGAAGAAUCCUGGAGCUUUUAUAAACAAUCUCCAGAAGACUGUGUGCAGUGCCCAGCUAGCCAGGUUCCCAGGACAACCCCUCCAAGAGAAAGCUUUGGUGAUUUGGAGAACCAGCAUCAAUCCCAAGUGACUGAAGAAGUGAAUCACCCAUCAAUUUUUCAGAAGUAUGUCUCUGUUAAGAAACCAUUUUUUCCCCUUCUUAAAAUAAUAUCUACAGGCUCCUGACCUUGAGAACAAUAUUAGAAUCCCUAUGGACAAAGAGGCCAAAAGAAUUGUUGUUGGUUUAAAUAAAAUUGUUUUCAAACGGC
This is a long non-coding RNA of Homo sapiens (human), 1683 nucleotides long. Ensembl annotates it as PLCE1 antisense RNA 1. Its record names the gene PLCE1-AS1. The record is from Ensembl. NCBI's taxonomy places the organism in Eukaryota, Metazoa, Chordata, Mammalia, Primates, Hominidae.